UACGUAGGGGCGAGCGUUGUCCGGAAUUAUUGGGCGUAAAGGGUUCGCAGGCGGUCUGAAUAGUCAGAUAUGAAAGAUCAUGGCUUAACCAUGGUAAGCAUUUGAAACUGUCAGACUUGAGUUAAGGAGAGGAAAGUGGAAUUCCUAGUGUAGCGGUGAAAUGCGUAGAUAUUAGGAGGAAUACCAGUGGCGAAGGCGAACUUUCUGGACUUAUACUGACGCUGAGGAACGAAAGCGUGGGGAGCAAACAGGAUUAGAUACCCUGGUA
RNAcentral lists this ribosomal RNA (268 nucleotides) under uncultured prokaryote. RNAcentral's name for it is "partial 16S ribosomal RNA". It matches the Rfam family "Bacterial small subunit ribosomal RNA", at positions 524 to 792 of the family's 1533-position model. The record is from RNAcentral.